Molecule: long non-coding RNA, 1103 nt
Organism: Nicotiana attenuata
Lineage: Eukaryota; Viridiplantae; Streptophyta; Magnoliopsida; Solanales; Solanaceae
Exons: 2
Source: RefSeq, a predicted model, not a curated record
UCCAAUUGUCUUCCUAAGUCGCCACAGAUAUUGUUUCUUUCUUUGUAUUGUACUUUAUUUCUCCAUUUUCCAUAGGCUCUCUCAGAAGUGUUGGUGUUCUUGCUCUCAAGAGUGUGCUUAACUAUACGUUUGUUCCUCUUUUAAUUUCUACCCGCAUCUUUUUUGGUUCGCUUUAUAUAUAUCUUAAUUUCGCAAUCCAAUGGCUGGUGUAUGUGAAAACUGAUGGUGAAACUCCAUUUUCAAACUUUAACCUUGCUGGGUUUUAAUUAACCAUUAGAGGCAUAGGGACAAAUGAAAGCUUAUACAUGUGAUUUAGAAACAAUUUCUUCAUCUUUUCCUAAUUUGUAUCUAUCUCUCCCAUUUAUCUUUUUCGAAAAAUCUUUACAUUGGGUCCACUUUUUGGGUUCUCUUCGUACUUAUAUUCUUCAUCUUCUUCUCUUUUGGUGUUUGUUCUGGGUUCUCUUCAUACUUUCUAAUUUUGCAAUUUCGUGGCUAUUGUAUGAUUCUAAUUGACAACUGUAGAGUAACAUAUCAUAGUAUAUUCCUAAAUUCAAUUUCUGUAUGCCUCAAAUCUUAUUUGCCCAAAGCUUUCUACUUUUUUGAAAUAAAUUGAUCUCUUGUGCCAGACUUUUACCAUUUCCAUUGGUGUAAAGAACUGACAAGCUGAAGUUGUUCGAGCUGUUCCCUGAAACUUUAGUUUCAUUAUAGCCCAUCGGAAUACAGAUAACGAUACAGCCUUGCAGCUACAAGAAGCAAAGCUGAAAAAAAUGCAGUAGCCCUUGCUGUGGAUUAGUUAUAAAAAGAACACCGUUCUUAUGAUAUUUUUUGCAUAUUUUGUUAAAAUGAACCAUAUCGUACCUAUGUGUAUGGGAAACUCUCUUCAUUAUGAUUACCUAUGUUUGAUUUUGGUAUGGGCAACUGUAUUAUGCACCUAAAGUCUGCCAAGACAACUCAAAGCAUCUGAAUUUGUUUUAUGAGUGCAAAUACCAGUUUGUACUCACGAAAGUUAUGUAAUUGCUAUUUUCACUCAUCUAAAAGAGUAUAUAACUCUAACUGCUUGCAAGUAAUGCAAUAGUUUAAAAUAAUGUAAUCUUUUACAUGUA